Molecule: long non-coding RNA, 319 nt
Filed under: Capra hircus (goat)
Lineage: Eukaryota; Metazoa; Chordata; Mammalia; Artiodactyla; Bovidae
Description: lncRNA (ENSCHIG00000005208.1)
Source: RNAcentral
CCAAAACCAGCUGGCAGGUGGGAGGCUGAGAGGAAAAAGACAUUGGGCCUCAGAAGGAGAGCAGAGGCAUGGCAAAGAAGAUCUUCUAUGUUGCCAUUGUGUGCACGGCCCAGGGCCUCCUAGGAUCUGCUGUCCCUAGAGACUGACUGAACCCAGGGUGCUCUCAUCUGCAGCUGAGCAAAGGAGCUCCUGGCAGAAGACAGCCUGGAAUGGCCCAGGACGUGGCCUAAAGUGAAUGCCUCAAAGACCUGUGGGGAGGUUGCCAGCUGCAGGGGCCAGAAGAUAAGAGUGUUAAUUUAGCUUGGCUGACAUCCAGGAA